UGGGGAAUUUUGGACAAUGGGGGAAACCCUGAUCAAGCCAUCCCGCGUGUGCGAUGAAGGCCUUCGGGUUGUAAAGCACUUUUGGCAGGAAAGAAACGUCAUGGGUUAAUACCCCGUGAAACUGACGGUACCUGCAGAAUAAGCACCGGCUAACUACGUGCCAGCAGCCGCGGUAAUACGUAGGGUGCAAGCGUUAAUCGGAAUUACUGGGCGUAACGCGUGCGCAGGCGGUUCGGAAAGAAAGAUGUGAAAUCCCAGAGCUCAACUUUGGAACUGCAUUUUUAACUACCGGGCUAGAGUGUGUCAGAGGGGGGAGGAAUUCCGCGUGUAGCAGUGAAAUGCGUAGAUAUGCGGAGGAACACCGAUGGAGAAGGCAGCCGCCUGGGAUAACACUGACGCUCAUGCACGAAAGCGUGGGGAGCAAACAGG
This 429-nucleotide ribosomal RNA is filed under the name Acidobacteriota bacterium. Its description in RNAcentral is "Acidobacteria bacterium partial 16S ribosomal RNA". It matches the Rfam family "Bacterial small subunit ribosomal RNA", at positions 355 to 776 of the family's 1533-position model. Lineage: Bacteria; Pseudomonadati; Acidobacteriota. The record is from RNAcentral.